AUUUAAUUUAUGCUUAUUGGUUAAUUUGUAAUUCCUCGAUCCAGAUUAUAAUAAUUAGACCCGGGUUUGAAUCCUUUAACACGCUCUCGGGUGAAAUUAUUACGUUUCAUAAAUUUGUGUCGAAUGCAGAAGACGGGGUUUGACCACGGAUCGGGAGACAAGGGAGAACCGUAAAGUUACCGACACUGUCAGUCUCAGCUCCCAGAUUUCCAGACUGUUGAGAGGUGUUAGAGCUGAACCGACCUAAAACGAAGGAAACGACUGGAUAGCAAUGUGAAAUCGAAUAUGUUUGCGGAUGUUUUCCACAAGGAUGAAUUUUUGGAUACCUGCUGCAAACACCAAAGGGAAACUGAUCGGAGUUCUCCCUGUCAAACUGAACAUGCGACUCCGAAUUAGACAAAUUAUAACAUCCUGCUCUAAGGGCGCUCUGUACACAGAAUGGACGAAUUUACCAACAGUUUUCCAAAGCGCAUCUACAGCAACUCAUCUUAAGUAAAUAAAAAGUUCGUGAAAUUGAUUAAAGUCUGUUUGUAAAUGCAAAUUCCACAUGUAAUGCGUUGGUCUAAACAACGGGGCAGUUUAUCCUUAUUCCAUCAGUCGAUAAUUUAUCAACAUAGCAAUUACUUUAUGAAAAGGGGUUCGAAAUAUAAUUGCUUAAAGUGAUUGCCACAAUGAAACAGUUGUUCAAUUAGGGAGGAGUUCGUGGGUUAAUUUUGCAAAUAGACGCCAGAAUUCCGGCUUUAACCUCAUUAUUACCGAUUGAUCGAAUGAGUUUAUUGAAGGACUUCUCGCUGCCUGCUAGACAUUGCUGGGGACGAAGAUGAGCCCAGUCCAGAUCGCGGAGCCAGAACAGAAUUAAUUCAAACAGGGGUGGAAAACCCUGCUGUUGUAGAAGCGUUAAAUGACAUUGCAAUCGCAGACUAUUACAAGUGAAUGUUUGCAACUUCUGCUGAUUAUUUUAUUUUGGAUGAACUAGUCAAUUAAUUUAAGGUUUUAAUUGUUGGACAUAGUAUUUUUGAAAUCGUAGCGGGGAGGAUAAAGAACUCCGUUUAACGUGGAAUUUUAAUCCAUAAUAUAAUGGUCUGAAGCAGGGGUUAUUCACCUGGGGUCCACGGGGCUCUGUCGAUAGAUUCCAGAGGGUCCGUAAAUCUCGUUACUUAAUGCUUUAAUAAAGAAGCACAUAUA
This is a long non-coding RNA of Mobula hypostoma (lesser devil ray), 1185 nucleotides long. RefSeq lists it as uncharacterized. The record is from RefSeq and is a predicted model, not a curated record. NCBI's taxonomy places the organism in Eukaryota, Metazoa, Chordata, Chondrichthyes, Myliobatiformes, Myliobatidae. The transcript is spliced from 3 exons.